CGCCGGACCCUCUCCUCGCCGCAUCGUCGUCUUCGCAGUGACACCGGCGCCCUUGUCCGUCGUGCUGGUUCCUCCGGUCCCCGACCAUCGCGUUGGCAUCUUCGCAGAUUUGCGUAUCGAGUUGUUCGUCUUCGGUUCCAAGAUCAAGUGCAUCCAAGAUGGACAAGUCCGGCAAAGUGAUUGCAAAGUGGGAUAGUAGAGCAACAAAAAUUUACACAGAAAUUUGUGUAGAAGAGGUCAAUGCUCGGAACAGGCCACAACAAUUUCUAAAUGCAGAAGGGUAUGCUAACCUCAUAAGGAAGUUUAAGGAACGCACUGGUCGCACUUACACCAGGGAUCAAAUGAAGAAUAGGUGGGAUUCGUUGAAGAGAAUGUUCACCCAGUGGAAAACUCUUAAUGAAAGGGCUACAGGUCUUGGUC
This is a long non-coding RNA of Zea mays, 420 nucleotides long. RefSeq lists it as uncharacterized. The transcript has 4 exons. NCBI's taxonomy places the organism in Eukaryota, Viridiplantae, Streptophyta, Magnoliopsida, Poales, Poaceae. The record is from RefSeq and is a predicted model, not a curated record.